UCUCUUUCUCUGUUAAUCAAUUUUGAAAAGAGGUGUGUUUAAGAAGAUUGUCUUCCUGACAGGGUGUUCCAUUAAACUCCCUCUGAUACAGUCUAAAGUACACUAUGAGUAUGAGUACAGCUAUUAUGUAAGUCAAAUGCAAUAACACCCUUUAUAAAUCCUGAAAAAAUCCACCUGUUUCAUCUUCCAAAACGGUCGCCUACACGGCAAUGACGGCUACCAGUAGCUGCUUCUGAGUCAAAAAUAAAAACUUACAACAUGGCAUGUUUGCAAAUAACAGUGCAAUGUGCAAGCUGAGGGCUAGCAAAAUACCAGCAAUCAGUGAUUUCACAUUAACACAUUCUUUAAAAAUGUUAUCCUUAAAUUAAAGUUGAAAGUAAUGUUAAAAACAAAACACAAAGCACUUUCAUGUUCAAAUUCAAAGUUUAUCUGAGGCUCUUUGGUGGACAUAACAAAGGGACAGGCAGCAAGCCGAGCUGCUGCUAACGCUAGCUUUGCUUUUCAUGGUGCUCUGCUUGUUUUUAAGUAAUCCUUCCUUCACUUUACAGAGUCAAACCGUACAACAAUGAAAGAGAUCAAAACCAUCCAUACAUGGUUCGGUAUAGAAAAACAAUAUGGGGAAUGAAAAUGUGAACAUCACCACUUACAGUAUUUACCAUAUUAAGACAUGCUGUCCAUGCUUCUGGGCAGGAAAGUGAUCUAUUCUCUGUAAAAUGAGUGAAACUAAGCCUUUAGCCACAGCAUUGUUCUUGCGUAAUCCCUGCUGCUCUAUUCUGAGAUUUGCACAAAACUCUCGCCUGGUCGGCAGAGUGCACGUCUCUCUUUGUGGGUUUGUGGGUGUGUGUGUGUGAGUAACUUCCCAUGAUAGCACCUGCGUGAUAGUUUUUCAGUUAACAGUAAAAGAAUGUACUAUCAUUAUCUUCCUCAUCAACAGUGCUAAUCCAGUCAAACGAUGGUAGAACCCUGAAGUAUAGAUGGAGUGGAUAGCUAUAGUUUCAAUGUUUUAUGAACGAGAUGGCGUGUAUAAAAGGCUGUUUUAGAUGUGUUGUUGUUGUUGUUAUCUGAGCAUCUUUUCCAAAAUAACUUUUUGUCUGGUUGUUGUUCCCCUAUAGUCUGCGGUGUCAUUUGAGGAAGUGGGAUUAAGUCGAUUUUUAUUUUAAUCUCUAGUUCUGCAGGGUCAUGCUCCAUAGUCUGAAUAAGCAAACGGAAGGUGGUACAAAUGAGUGUGAAUUUUAAUUUCUUCCUGUGCAGAAAGCAAUAUAUUUGCUGUUUUGUAAGGAUUUAAUUUGAAUGAUGUAGCAUAGUUUGAAGCCAGACUAGCAGGCAUGUGGUGGAUAAAAGAUAGCCAGUGUGACCCUGUGUGUUGGAAAGGAGUUAUUGAUUUGCCCUUCUGUAACACGCUAUGAUUAGUUACACAAUGUGGAAACUGGAGCUGGACAUAACUCACAGCCUGUUUUAGUUUGGGUUUUUUUUCAAUGAAAUUGAGUCAGUUAUUUUAGGACAAAAGGCGAUUUAUGUUUUUAUGUUCAUGUGGUUGUUUGCCUUCUCUGAAAUGCAUUCGCUUGGAAUGAGAGGGUGUGAGAGAGUGAGCGAGAGAGCGAUGUGUGGAUGCUCUCACUGUUCUGCUAGAGUAGUCAAGGUCACUUUAUGAUGGAGGCGUUUUUGCUGCUUGUGAAUGAAGAACGCUGUGCUGGUCCCUUCUGAUGCUAAGAUGCCUCCCGCCUCCUCCAACACACACACACACACACACACACACACACACACACACACACACACA
Molecule: long non-coding RNA, 1777 nt
Organism: Labrus mixtus (cuckoo wrasse)
Lineage: Eukaryota; Metazoa; Chordata; Actinopteri; Labriformes; Labridae
Exons: 2
Source: RefSeq, a predicted model, not a curated record